Molecule: ribosomal RNA, 253 nt
Filed under: uncultured bacterium
Lineage: Bacteria
Description: partial 16S ribosomal RNA
Rfam family: Bacterial small subunit ribosomal RNA
Source: RNAcentral
UACGUAGGGUCCGAGCGUUGUCCGGAUUUAUUGGGCGUAAAGAGCGUGUAGGCGGCCUGACAGGUCUGCUGUGAAAACUCGAGGCUCAACCUCGAGAUGUCGGCGGAAACCGUCUGGCUAGAGUCCGGAAGAGGAGAGUGGAAUUCCUAGUGUAGCGGUGAAAUGCGCAGAUAUCAGGAGGAACACCGGUGGCGAAGGCGGUUCUCUGGGAAUGUCCUGACGCUGAGGAGCGAAAGUGUGGGGAGCGAACAGG